UUGGAGUCAAUGAGGCCCCCGAUCUGAGUGAGGUUGCAGUUUCUCUGCGUCACAUACUCAAUGCUGGUGGACUCCAUCAGCAGCGCGUAGUCUGUGGUGGAGAUUUUUGAUUUCUGGAGGGAAAGAAAACACACUCACCAGCAGAAGAGGGCUGGAAAAAUACGACCUAAAGAUCAUCUGCCGAAUCUAUGGGGGAUUCCAUUCUCUCUACUGUCAAGAAGGCAGCCAGAUUGGCCGUGUAGGAUGAAAUGAUGAUUAGGGUGAAAAACCACCAUAUCCCUCCAACUAUUCUGGUCGAUAGAGCUUUGGGCAUCAGCUCUGAUCCUGUGAUGGUAUCAUCAGAGUAAGGGUGUUAAACACAGUCAGAAGGAAAGGGAAGAUGUACAGUUCGACACUAUUCUAGGAAGAUCAACCUGUAAAAGACUUACCGUCUUGUAGGUAGAUGAAAUAAAUGCAUUUUAUAGAAAAUGGA
Long non-coding RNA from Homo sapiens (human), 472 nucleotides. RefSeq lists it as uncharacterized. NCBI's taxonomy places the organism in Eukaryota, Metazoa, Chordata, Mammalia, Primates, Hominidae. The transcript is spliced from 3 exons. The record is from RefSeq and is a predicted model, not a curated record.